UGCGGUUCUUGGGUGAUACACCCAGAACCAGAGAGAAGGGAGCCUGAUUCUGGGGUGCAUCACCCGAGAAUUGCC
This is a non-coding RNA of Myotis brandtii (Brandt's bat), 75 nucleotides long. NCBI's taxonomy places the organism in Eukaryota, Metazoa, Chordata, Mammalia, Chiroptera, Vespertilionidae. The record is from Rfam.